ACCAAUGACCAUUUGAAAUCCUUCUUCUUUGAGGAACCUUGUGACAGCUUAAAAGGACCUGGCUCCAGCAGGACCAAACCCAAGGAGAGCAUAAGUGAUUUAAAAGAUAUUUCUUCAGUGUUUGCCUGCCAACGACCUCCUUCAGACUGUAAUGUGACGAAUGUGUCAGGGCAUUACAAAGAGAGCUCUGUGACUUCACAAACAGCUUCUCGCAUAAGCAGAGAUGACGGCAGCACAACAGCACAGCUCAAACCUGAGGCGACUGAGGACAAGCCAGGCUUCGAUGCUGUGUGUGCGGGUGGAGGCUGUCUGACUGAGCUGAAGACUAAAGUUGGUGAACUUGAGGCAGAAGAAAAGACUGACAAGGGCCCUCUUUUGGAGAACUGUGAAAUGGGCAUGAGUUUCAAAGACUUGCAUGCCCGAGUAGCGCCACAAAGCCCAAGAAGCCCUUUCAACCCUGAAGUACGAUCGGCACGCAUAAGAACACGGUCCACUAGCAACUCCCCCAAAGCAGACCCUGGUACAGUUUCAUCUGCACCAGUCUCUGACAUAGACUCAAGCAGACCUCAUUCUCUCUUGGACCUCCCUUGGCACGGCUCUGUUUCUCCAUCCUCUUGUCUACCAGCUGGCAUGGCUUCCCACCAAUUCCCUGACCCUGCUCCAGCUCCCGCUCCAGACCCCAUCCCAACCUCCCUCAUAUGCCCCCAGACCGCAACACCCGGUACGGGAAGCACUCUGCCCGGGGUGCCCUUCACAGCCUCCGCAGCCCAGCCGCAGGUUACUGCACGGCAUACUCUUUGCCCAGAGGAGGCACAGCCAACUAGCGGCCUCCCUCCCCUUGAGGAGAGCAGCCCUCACCCAGUGAAGCCCCUGAUCACAGUAGUGCAAGGUGAAAAGAGAUCCGAGGGCCGUUCAGUGCUGGAGAAACUCCGCUCCUCCAUCCAUCCAGGACGCUCCGCACAGCAGGCCGCAGCUGAGCCAGAGAAAACCCAGGUACUGCUGCCUCAUCACUCCAGGCUUCAGCUGUAACCCGGC
This is a long non-coding RNA of Electrophorus electricus (electric eel), 1035 nucleotides long. The record is from Ensembl. NCBI's taxonomy places the organism in Eukaryota, Metazoa, Chordata, Actinopteri, Gymnotiformes, Gymnotidae.